This 53-nucleotide transfer RNA is filed under the name Convolvulus scoparius. RNAcentral describes it as "partial tRNA-His". It matches the Rfam family "tRNA", at positions 1 to 49 of the family's 71-position model. Rfam says of the family: Transfer RNA (tRNA) molecules are approximately 80 nucleotides in length. Their secondary structure includes four short double-helical elements and three loops (D, anti-codon, and T loops). The record is from RNAcentral. Lineage: Eukaryota; Viridiplantae; Streptophyta; Magnoliopsida; Solanales; Convolvulaceae.
GGGCGGAUGUAGCCAAGUGGAUUAAGGCGGUGGAUUGUGAAUCCACAUGCGCG